This 1342-nucleotide long non-coding RNA is filed under the name Solanum lycopersicum (tomato). RNAcentral describes it as "long non-coding RNA (SLYC_LNC000129)". Lineage: Eukaryota; Viridiplantae; Streptophyta; Magnoliopsida; Solanales; Solanaceae. The record is from RNAcentral.
UUAAAACCGCAUAUAUUAUGCUAAACAAAAGCAUCCAUGCCUACUUGAGCUAAAAUCUAAAAAGAUAAAAUUUGAUGGAAUUCAUACAAAUUACUAAAGAGCUAAUUUAAGAAAAUGUUCUUAAACCAACACAUUUCUGAUAAUAAAGUACCAUACAACGAACACAACAUCUUUUCAGAACUUAAAGAGUUUGCUAAGGUUGUAUCUCCUGUUAACAUCAUCCUUGGUGUAAUCAAUCAUGGACCUGAGUCCAGGAGAGCGAUGAUCUCACCACUCUUGGACUGAUCUAUUUGACACCAAAUAGCUGUAAUUCUUUGCAUCUUGCAUUGUGCAACAGAGUAUUCAAUUUGAUUUCAACUCUUUAAUAUUGAAUACGGAAGUUAAAGAUCUAUUCUCUUAUUUCUGCUACAAAAAAAUAGAUUAGUAAAGGUUACUAACUCUCUAAUGGUGUUUUAAUGCAUCACUUUCAUAGUAUAAAUGUGCAAACAAAAAAAAUAUAAGAUUCAAACUUCUAAUUCUCGUAUUCCAGACACUACAUGUUCUUAAGGAAUGCUUCAUCGGUCAUGUCCUUUUGUUUCUUUGUUUGGGAUAAAAAAAUGCAGUAAUUAGGAGCAGAAGAAAAGAAGAAACUAUCCAAAAGUUGCACCAUGCAAUCACUCGAACUUGAUUUGUGAACUUUAUGCUACUUUAUAUGUUAAUGGAUAUACUCCUUCCGUCCAGUAUUGUUUGUCAUUAUUUAUAUUUUUAGAGUCAAACUAUAAAUAUUUGACUAACAUUUUAAGAUGUAUUUCUUCAAAAUAUUAAUAUGCAUAAAAUUGUAAUUUACAGUACUUUUCAUAUAGUUUUAGAAUAUCUAAUUUUUUUGUUUAAAAAUAUCAAAUUAAUGGAAUCUAAUUUAUCUUUGAAAAUUAAUCAAAUUGACAUUCGAUAAGCGCAACAUGACAAACAAUUCCGAACGGAGAGAAUAAAAUAGUAGCGUGUUCAUAAAAUUAACAGAAUUUUUUUAUUAUACCUGUCUUUUCCUAACUUAGUAUCAACAACUAUAUGAAGUAAUAGUAGUUAAAUUUAGAGUUUUUUAUAGCACUAAUUAUACGACAGUUUAAUAAAAUACAUCUUCAAUAAAAUCUUUGUAAUUAGAAGUGUCUCAAGUCAAUAGAGAUCAAAUAAUACAAAGAAGCAAAAUUUACAUGUUUCAAUCUCUUGUAAAUAAAGGAAACUAAAUGAUAAUACUAAUUGCAUAUGAAAAAUCGUAAUUGGCACCUGAAUUUUAGGAGACAUGGCUAGAAUGUGAAGGCCAUAAGAAUGAAUACAGGAAAUCCCUAAAUUGAAGAAACUAAAAAAU